CGAGCGAACAGACGAGGAGCUUGCUCCUCUGACGUUAGCGGCGGACGGGUGAGUAACACGUGGAUAACCUACCUAUAAGACUGGGAUAACUUCGGGAAACCGGAGCUAAUACCGGAUAAUAUAUUGAACCGCAUGGUUCAAUAGUGAAAGACGGUUUUGCUGUCACUUAUAGAUGGAUCCGCGCCGCAUUAGCUAGUUGGUAAGGUAACGGCUUACCAAGGCAACGAUGCGUAGCCGACCUGAGAGGGUGAUCGGCCACACUGGAACUGAGACACGGUCCAGACUCCUACGGGAGGCAGCAGUAGGGAAUCUUCCGCAAUGGGCGAAAGCCUGACGGAGCAACGCCGCGUGAGUGAUGAAGGUCUUCGGAUCGUAAAACUCUGUUAUUAGGGAAGAACAAAUGUGUAAGUAACUAUGCACGUCUUGACGGUACCUAAUCAGAAAGCCACGGCUAACUACGUGCCAGCAGCCGCGGUAAUACGUAGGUGGCAAGCGUUAUCCGGAAUUAUUGGGCGUAAAGCGCGCGUAGGCGGUUUUUUAAGUCUGAUGUGAAAGCCCACGGCUCAACCGUGGAGGGUCAUUGGAAACUGGAAAACUUGAGUGCAGAAGAGGAAAGUGGAAUUCCAUGUGUAGCGGUGAAAUGCGCAGAGAUAUGGAGGAACACCAGUGGCGAAGGCGACUUUCUGGUCUGUAACUGACGCUGAUGUGCGAAAGCGUGGGGAUCAAACAGGAU
This 733-nucleotide ribosomal RNA is filed under the name uncultured Staphylococcus sp. RNAcentral describes it as "bacterial SSU rRNA". It matches the Rfam family "Bacterial small subunit ribosomal RNA", at positions 63 to 778 of the family's 1533-position model. The record is from RNAcentral. Lineage: Bacteria; Bacillati; Bacillota; Bacilli; Caryophanales; Staphylococcaceae.